AGAUGUGAGCAGAAAAUGGCUGAACCCUCUGCAUGAGGUUCUGCUCUGUCCACUCACUAAACGCUACAAAGUGGCUGUAAAGUACACAGAUGUGGGAGAUCUACCAGACGUUUGAGGAAAGAUGUCACCUGGAAGUCAUGAAAGUCUCAAAUGAAGCCUUGAUGGGAUUCAUGAAGAGCAUUGCAGACUCACGGUGAUUCAUUGACUACUUCGGCCUGAUUGAGGUGUUCUACUCAAAGGUGCCUGGCUUUUGAAGAUGCUGCCCUCUGAGAACAAAUGUCUUCAUCCGGGUCUGAGCUGCCUGUCCCGUUAUCCAUCGACAUACAAAUGGCCAAGGUUUGGUUUCCCAGUCUGCAGUGUGAGGAACAAAAGACCAGGACUGUUGCAGGUAUUUAAUUUGAAUUAUAAAAAAAAAAGUGAAGUUUACUUGCUCACAAAUUAUGUUUAACCUAAGUAGAAGUGA
Anoplopoma fimbria (sablefish) is the source of this 463-nucleotide long non-coding RNA. RefSeq lists it as uncharacterized. The record is from RefSeq and is a predicted model, not a curated record. Lineage: Eukaryota; Metazoa; Chordata; Actinopteri; Perciformes; Anoplopomatidae. The transcript is spliced from 8 exons.